CUGGCUCAGGAUGAACGCUGGCGGCGUGCCUAACACAUGCAAGUUGAGCGAUUUACUUCGGUAAAGCGCUGGCGGCGUGCCUAACACAUGCAAGUUGAGCGAUUUACUUCGGUAAAGAGCGGCGGACGGGUGAGUAACGCGUGGGUAACCUACCCUGUACACACGGAUAACAUACCGAAAGGUAUGCUAAUACGGGAUAAUAUAUUUGAGAGGCAUCUCUUAAAUAUCAAAGGUGAGCCAGUACAGGAUGGACCCGCGUCUGAUUAGCUAGUUGGUAAGGUAACGGCUUACCAAGGCGACGAUCAGUAGCCGACCUGAGAGGGUGAUCGGCCACAUUGGAACUGAGACACGGUCCAAACUCCUACGGGAGGCAGCAGUGGGGAAUAUUGCACAAUGGGCGAAAGCCUGAUGCAGCAACGCCGCGUGAGUGAUGAAGGCCUUCGGGUCGUAAAACUCUGUCCUCAAGGAAGAUAAUGACGGUACUUGAGGAGGAAGCCCCGGCUAACUACGUGCCAGCAGCCGCGGUAAUACGUAGGGGGCUAGCGUUAUCCGGAUUUACUGGGCGUAAAGGGUGCGUAGGCGGUCUUUCAAGUCAGGAGUGAAAGGCUACGGCUCAACCGUAGUAAGCUCUUGAAACUGGGAGACUUGAGUGCAGGAGAGGAGAGUGGAAUUCCUAGUGUAGCGGUGAAAUGCGUAGAUAUUAGGAGGAACACCAGUUGCGAAGGCGGCUCUCUGGACUGUAACUGACGCUGAGGCACGAAAGCGUGGGGA
RNAcentral lists this ribosomal RNA (771 nucleotides) under Bacteroides caccae. Its description in RNAcentral is "bacterial SSU rRNA". It matches the Rfam family "Bacterial small subunit ribosomal RNA", at positions 19 to 767 of the family's 1533-position model. The record is from RNAcentral. Lineage: Bacteria; Pseudomonadati; Bacteroidota; Bacteroidia; Bacteroidales; Bacteroidaceae.